GACGAACGCUGGCGGCGUGCUUAACACAUGCAAGUCGAACGGGUCUGCCCUGUUUUUUGCGGGGUGGGUCAGUGGCGAACGGGUGAGUAACACGUGAGUAACCUGCCCCUCACUUCUGGAUAACCGCUUGAAAGGGUGGCUAAUACGGGGUGUUCUGGCUGUGCCGCAUGGUGUGGCUGGGAAAGAUUCACUUUUGUGGUGUUUUGGUGGGGGAUGGGCUCGCGGCCUAUCAGCUUGUUGGUGGGGUGAUGGCCUGCCAAGGCUUUGACGGGUAGCCGGCCUGGGAGGGUGGGCGGUCACACUGGGACUGAGAUACGGCCCAGACUCCGGCGGGAGGCAGCAGUGGGGGGUAUUGCACAAUGGGCGGAAGCGUGAUGCAGCGACGUCGCGGGAGGGAUGGAGGCCUGCGGGUUGUGAACCUCUUUCGCCGGUGAAGAAGGUCCUGCUCUUUGGGGUGGGGUUGACGGUAGCCGGGUUAUGAAGCGCCGGCUAACUACGUG
This 500-nucleotide ribosomal RNA is filed under the name uncultured bacterium. Its description in RNAcentral is "partial 16S ribosomal RNA". It matches the Rfam family "Bacterial small subunit ribosomal RNA", at positions 28 to 507 of the family's 1533-position model. The record is from RNAcentral.